This 465-nucleotide ribosomal RNA is filed under the name uncultured Campylobacterota bacterium. RNAcentral's name for it is "bacterial SSU rRNA". It matches the Rfam family "Bacterial small subunit ribosomal RNA", at positions 8 to 484 of the family's 1533-position model. Lineage: Bacteria; Pseudomonadati; Campylobacterota. The record is from RNAcentral.
AGAGUUUGAUCCUGGCUCAGAGUGAACGCUGGCGGCGUGCUUAACACAUGCAAGUCGAACGAGAACGGGUUAUAGCUUGCUAUAACUGUCAGCUAAGUGGCGCACGGGUGAGUAAUAUAUAGGUAACGUGCCCUAGAGAGGGGGAUAACAAUUGGAAACGAUUGCUAAUACCCCAUAUGCCUUUAAGUCAUAAGACUGCAAGGGAAAUAUUUAUAGCUCUAGGAUCGGCCUGUACGGUAUCAGUUUGUUGGUGAGGUAAUGGCUCACCAAGACUAUGACGCCUAACUGGUUUGAGAGGAUGAUCAGUCACACUGGAACUGAGACACGGUCCAGACUCCUACGGGAGGCAGCAGUGGGGAAUAUUGCACAAUGGAGGAAACUCUGAUGCAGCAACGCCGCGUGGAGGAUGACACAUUUCGGUGCGUAAACUCCUUUUCUAUAGGAAGAUAAUGACGGUACUNUAGA